CAAAGGCUCCUCCCCAGCCCAGGUCACCUUGGUCACCUCCUCCGGGAAGCCUUUCAUGCCUUUCUGCUCUGGCCUCCCACUUUGGAGUGUGGCCUCUCUUACCAGCCUGCCUCCUCCCUCCCCACACCCCGUCAGUUCUCCCAGGGCAGAGGCUGUUUCCUAUUCUGCGCAGCGUUUCCGGCACCCAGCCAGGCUUAAAGUUAAUCCUAAAGAAGUGUGAUGAUGGUGGAAGCCUGUGGCCAAGACUGAUCAUUGGUGGAGAUAGUUUGGUUGUACAAUGGGUCUCUAUCUGUGAGUAGAGCCAACUUUCUUGAGAUGUGGGAACAGAAGCCCUCCUGAAUGGAUUCAACAUGACAACUUGCCUUCACCUCUCUUAGAUCCCCCUUUCUGGAAAACUCCAGCCAGAGAGCAAGUCUGAGAUUGGGAGAAGUGAAAAGCAGGUA
RNAcentral lists this long non-coding RNA (443 nucleotides) under Homo sapiens (human). Its description in RNAcentral is "HSALNT0230639". Lineage: Eukaryota; Metazoa; Chordata; Mammalia; Primates; Hominidae. The record is from RNAcentral.